UGGGGAAUCAUGGUCAAUGGGCGAAAGCCUGAACCUGCGACGCCGCGUGAGUGAUGAAGGUCGUAAGAUCGUAAAACUCUUUUCAGGGAUCUUAAAGCACAACCGUCAACAACGGCUGUGUGUGACUCUCCCUGGAAGAAGCCCCAGCCAACUACGUGCCAGCAGCUGCGGUAAUACGUAGGGGGCGAGCGUUAUUCGGAAUUACUGGGUGUAAAGGGUAUGUAGGCGGCCCUUCAAGUCGGGUGUCAAAGCCCGGGGCUUAACGCUGGGUG
This 272-nucleotide ribosomal RNA is filed under the name uncultured prokaryote. RNAcentral describes it as "partial 16S ribosomal RNA". It matches the Rfam family "Bacterial small subunit ribosomal RNA", at positions 355 to 621 of the family's 1533-position model. The record is from RNAcentral.